GACGAACGCUGGCGGCGUGCUUAACACAUGCAAGUCGAACGGAAAGGCCCUGCUUUUGUGGGGUGCUCGAGUGGCGAACGGGUGAGUAACACGUGAGUCACCUGCCCUUGACUGUGGGAUAACUUCAGGAAACUGGGGCUAAUACCGGAUAGGAGCUCCUGCUGCAUGGUGGGGGUUGGAAAGUUUCGGCGGUUGGGGAUGGACUCGCGGCUUAUCAGCUUGUUGGGGGGGUAGUGGCUUACCAAGGCUUUGACGGGUAGCCGGCCUGAGAGGGUGAACGGCCACAUUGGGACUGAGAUACGGACCAGAGUCGUACGGGAGGCAGCAGUGGAGAAUAUUGCACAAUGGGCGGAAGCCUGAUGCAGAAACGCCGCGUGCGGGAUGACGGCCUUCGGGUUGUAAACCGCUUUCGCCUGUGACGAAGCGUGAGUGACGGUAAUGGGUAAAGAAGCACCGGCUAACUACGUG
Molecule: ribosomal RNA, 468 nt
Filed under: uncultured bacterium
Lineage: Bacteria
Description: partial 16S ribosomal RNA
Rfam family: Bacterial small subunit ribosomal RNA
Source: RNAcentral